RNAcentral lists this ribosomal RNA (426 nucleotides) under uncultured Caryophanaceae bacterium. RNAcentral describes it as "bacterial SSU rRNA". It matches the Rfam family "Bacterial small subunit ribosomal RNA", at positions 356 to 774 of the family's 1533-position model. The record is from RNAcentral. Lineage: Bacteria; Bacillati; Bacillota; Bacilli; Caryophanales; Caryophanaceae.
GGGGAAUUUUGGACAAUGGGCGCAAGCCUGAUCCAGCAAUGCCGCGUGCAGGAUGAAGGCCUUCGGGUUGUAAACUGCUUUUGUACGGAACGAAAAGCCUCUCUCUAAUACAGGGGGGUGAUGACGGUACCGUAAGAAUAAGCACCGGCUAACUACGUGCCAGCAGCCGCGGUAAUACGUAGGUGGCAAGCGUUGUCCGGAAUUAUUGGGCGUAAAGCGCGCGCAGGUGGUUUCUUAAGUCUGAUGUGAAAGCCCACGGCUCAACCGUGGAGGGUCAUUGGAAACUGGGAGACUUGAGUGCAGAAGAGGAUAGUGGAAUUCCAAGUGUAGCGGUGAAAUGCGUAGAGAUUUGGAGGAACACCAGUGGCGAAGGCGACUAUCUGGUCUGUAACUGACACUGAGGCGCGAAAGCGUGGGGAGCAAACA